CCAGUCCCAAAGCCAGGAGAGAGUUCACGCUCCCUGCCCAGGAGUUCAUCCUUCCUUUCAAGCCCUCUUGAGAGAGGAGGCGGAAGGAAAGGGGCAAGCCCAACCCAGAAGGAGCCCCAGGACAAGCGGGGAGGGCCCAGGAGAGGGAAGAAAGCACUGGCCAAAGAGAAGGUGGGGAGACUCCCCUGGCUCCAGGGCCCGGGAGAAGAAAGACGAGGCAGCAAUGGGAGAGUAAACCAGGGGAGAGGUGAGGUGACAGGCAGGCCUGGGCAGGGCUCGGAGCAGGAUGGAGAGAGGAAGUAAGAAACUGGAGCAGCCCAGUGAUGAGGCGGGUAGCAGGGGGAGGGCAACCAAGACAAUGAAGAAGCAUGGGGCUGCAGGGAGGCCAACCAGCUGCCACUUCCAGUGUCCCCUGGGGACUUGCUGGGGUGCCCCUGGGCAGGUCUCUUUCCCUCUCUGGCCUGUCUUCCCAUCUGGAAAGCAGGAGAUCGGACAAGAUGGUCUUGAGAGGUCUCUCGUGUGAGGAACCUAGGGGUUCCAUGCUUGCCAGCAAGAGGGGAGCGGCUGGGAGCAGACAGGCUCUUCUUGACUCUUGGAGUACCCUGGAACUGUGAAUACUAUAAUUCACUCAGAAGCAAGGUCUACAAAUUCCAAGUAGAUGUGAUAUCAAGAGAAGGCCAGGAAACCUGAGUUCUCCUUUCAGCAUGACCAGUUUUCCUCCUGGUGGCCCCUGGGAAAGCCAUAUUUUCCUUUUGGGCCUCAACGUCUGCUUGUCUAUGGAAGAGAAGCCAAAAUGCUCUCCAAGGGCCAUUCUAGCAAUAAACCUUCAGAGAAGAGCUAAGUCUCCAGAUAUGUUCCCAUCUCUGGGAACUUCAUUCCUUGCACCUAGAGCAGCCUCCCUCCUAUCUUCAGAAGAUCAACCAUUGGCUGCUGGAAAAUUCUACUCUUGUAACCCCAGCCCAUGGGUAUAUAUAGGGAUCCCCAUGGGAACCAGUGUGCAACUGCAUGGCCUCAGGAGCGCUGAGCACCUGCCCUGGCCAUUGGAUGCCGCAGAAUUCCUUGCAGUCUUCCUAAGACUGCAGACCACAGCACUGACUCACCCUCAUCCUCCCACCACCAUGAGAGAAUGACAACCAUGAGGAGGAAGAUGUCAAUGAUGACUUCAGUGGCCCUCUUGCACCCAUCCUCACCCCCAAAUCUGUUUCUGACACCCUGUCCCAGUCACACCCAGGCUUCUGAUGAAUCUGACUCCUUCUCCCACCAUCUCUGAGGCGGUGGCUUCUGAAAACUGUGGUCAGUGAAGUGUCUACCGCAAGCCUUUGUCUAAUUAUCUGCAUUGUUCUGGGUUCUGAAUGAUGUCCAGCCAAGAGCUUCCUUUAUGUCAUUUUAUACACAGUCUGCCCCCCAAAUCAGUCCAACACCACCCACUCAGCCCCUAGUCCUUGGGGUUCACCUUGUGGCCAGUGGCCUCAAUAGCUUGGCCACCUAAGGGGGACCCCACCAGAGCCUUUGUGUCUCCACUGCUUUGUGUCUGUCUGCUCCUUGGAGUCAGACAUUGCUUGCUCAGCACCUGCUCUGUGAUGGGCACGGUGCUGGGCACCAUCUAACACAAAGGACCUGGCCUUAGGGGUUCACAGUCUAGAGGGAAGAUAAAACUUUCACAGACAGACAAAAAUCAUAGCAUAGGACAGCAGCAUGGAUAGUCUCCUACAAGAGGAUCAGACAAAUUCCCGGAAUUUCCUUGGGGAGAAUCAGUGUGACCUGGUGUGGUCAGUCAAGGCGGGUACUUCCGAUAAAGGAAGGGGAAGACUCCAAUCAGCAGAAAGAUUGGAAGUGGGAUGUGAGUGGGGGAUAGGAGGAUAGACACUGAUGUAUAUAGGAAGCCAGGAUACUUCACACCCUCCACCCCUACCUGGGCCCUCUGGCCAUUUCCCUGUCCCUACCACUUCAGGAUCAGGGACCCCGCACAUGUGGAGUGGCCUUGAGGCCACUGUGAGCCUUGAACUCCACCCUACUUAGAGCUGCCUUCUUCUAGUUGCUUUCCAGGGAUCCACAGAGAAUGAUGCCCUCUCCCCAAAACGCACAUGUCCACACGUGCACACCCACCCUAAAGACAACAGCUUCAUGAGCUUUUCUGUCAAAUCCCCUGGGAUCCUCCCAUGGAUUCAUCCUCCAUCUCUCUCCCUCAUUCACUCCAAUCUGUGUAUAUUACACCUCGCAGCCUCACCCCUCCUCGCACGGUCCUCCCAUCAUUACAUAACUCUGUUUGGGAUUAUUUUUGCCCAGAGGUAUGAGUUGCAUUUCUGCAUAUUUAAGCUGUCCUUGAUUCAUUCCUGCCCGUUUCUUAGUUCUGUUUGCCCAGGUGCCCGCCCCACCCACAGGCUCUGAGGCCCCUGGGAACAUGCCCACGUCAGGCUCAGCUUGCUUCUCAGCGGCUGCUCCACUCCAGCCCACGACAGCAGACCCCACAACAGAGCCAUCCAGGGCAGCACUCAGUUUUGAUUUGCACUCUUGAGAGUCCCUUGGACUGCAAAGAGAUCCAAC
Long non-coding RNA from Capra hircus (goat), 2544 nucleotides. RefSeq lists it as uncharacterized. The record is from RefSeq and is a predicted model, not a curated record. NCBI's taxonomy places the organism in Eukaryota, Metazoa, Chordata, Mammalia, Artiodactyla, Bovidae. The transcript has 3 exons.